Molecule: transfer RNA, 73 nt
Filed under: Camelus bactrianus (Bactrian camel)
Lineage: Eukaryota; Metazoa; Chordata; Mammalia; Artiodactyla; Camelidae
Also listed under: 2 other names
Rfam family: tRNA
About the family: Transfer RNA (tRNA) molecules are approximately 80 nucleotides in length.
Source: Rfam by way of RNAcentral
AAGGGUAUAGCUCAAGUGGUAGAGUGCAUGUUUAGCAUGAAUGAGGUCCUGGGUUCUAUCCCCAGUACCUCCU